This 519-nucleotide ribosomal RNA is filed under the name uncultured bacterium. Its description in RNAcentral is "partial 16S ribosomal RNA". It matches the Rfam family "Bacterial small subunit ribosomal RNA", at positions 28 to 507 of the family's 1533-position model. The record is from RNAcentral.
GACGAACGCUGGCGGCGUGCCUAAUACAUGCGAGUCGAGCGAGUCUGCCUUGAAGAUCGGAGUGCUUGCACUCUGUGAAACAAGAUACAGGCUAGCGGCGGACGGGUGAGUAACACGUGGGUAACCUGCCCAAGAGAUCGGGAUAACACCUGGAAACAGAUGCUAAUACCGGAUAACAACAGAUGAUGCCUAUCAACUGUUUAAAAGAUGGUUCUGCUAUCACUCUUGGAUGGACCUGCGGUGCAUUAGCUAGUUGGUAGGGUAACGGCCUACCAAGGCGAUGAUGCAUAGCCGAGUUGAGAGACUGAUCGGCCACAUUGGGACUGAGACACGGCCCAAACUCCUACGGGAGGCAGCAGUAGGGAAUCUUCCACAAUGGACGCAAGUCUGAUGGAGCAACGCCGCGUGAGUGAAGAAGGGUUUCGGCUCGUAAAGCUCUGUUGUUGGUGAAGAAGGACAGGGGUAGUAACUGACCUUUGUUUGACGGUAAUCAAUUAGAAAGUCACGGCUAACUACGUG